UAGGGAAUCUUCGGCAAUGGACGGAAGUUUGGACCGAGCAACGCCGACGUGAGUGAAGAAGGUUUUCGGAUCGUAAAGCUCUGUUGUAAGAGAAGAACGAGUGUGAGAGUGGAAAGUUCACACUGUGACGGUAUCUUACCAGAAAGGGACGGCUAACUACGUGCCAGCAGCCGCGGUAAUACGUAGGUCCCGAGCGUUGUCCGGAUUUAUUGGGCGUAAAGCNAGCGCAGGCGGUUAGAUAAGUCUGAAGUUAAAGGCUGUGGCUUAACCAUAGUAGGCUUUGGAAACUGUUUAACUUGAGUGCAAGAGGGGAGAGUGGAAUUCCAUGUGUAGCGGUGAAAUGCGUAGAUAUAUGGAGGAACACCGGUGGCGAAAGNGGCUCUCCGGCUUGUAACUGACGCUGAGGCUCGAAAGCGUGGGGAGCAAACAGGAUUAGAUACCCUGGUAGUCCACGCUGUAAACGAUGAGUGCUAGGGUGUUAGACCCUUUCCGGGGUUUAGUGCCGUAGCUAACGCAUUAAGCACUCCGCCUGGGGAGUACGACCGCAAGGUGA
This 553-nucleotide ribosomal RNA is filed under the name uncultured bacterium. Its description in RNAcentral is "bacterial SSU rRNA". It matches the Rfam family "Bacterial small subunit ribosomal RNA", at positions 355 to 896 of the family's 1533-position model. The record is from RNAcentral.